CUCUCCUUUCCCCUUGUUCCUCCCCAGAGUGACUUUGAAGAUGACAUUUGUAUAUCUGAAUUAAAACCACAUUUGGCCGGUGCUGAGAAGGGAGGAGGCAGGGGCAGAAGAGAGAGAAAUCUUUUUGUUCUCUUCCUUGUCGUCCCCCCUCACCUGCCAGGGCCAAGCUCCAAAAUAAUUCCAAACAGCUGAGGUUAGCCAGGGACAUCUAAUCCCGGAAAGCUGGCUCUGAAUUCCAGCACCAGCACAUGGCAUUUGAAUUUCAACAACCAUUCACGUGUAAUUCCUCCAGACCUCUGAAGAAGUGUGAGUAUAUGCACAGGUAUGGGCUUAUUUAUAUAAAAAGAAAAAAAAACAAAUUCAUAAAUUGUAACCCAAAAGAUAUAAUGAUAACUGUGGCAACAUUCUUGUUUUUUAAAGCUAAGCAAGCUCAGGAACUGUUUUAAGGAUGUACUGGGGUCUUUUGAGUGUACCCUAAACCACCGUGACUAUAGGAUGUCCAAGAAUUGUGAUUCUCAACCAAAGGGAAGGCUGAGUCCUCUUUCCCUGAUUUCCUGUAAUGGAAAAAGACUGCUCUGUGCAAGUGGAGCUUAAAGGAUCUUGCUGAGACCUUUCCUGUUUGUUUACAGAAGGGGUACAAGGAGCAUCCUGGCAACACAACGGAGAGAAACCUCUCAGGGCAGAGCUACACCGAUAUGGGAGGAUGUGGCAGCAACAGGAUCACCCUGAGGGAAACACAUCUUUCCAGACAUGGAAAGCAAAGGGGACACGUUGGCGCAUCUGUCAAGAUUCCCGCUCUGGAAAAGAAGAUCAGAGCAAAUGGGGACUGAGGAGAACAAAAGCUGACCCAAACCUUUGACCUAAACUUAACAUAAAGCCAAAUGAAACCUUAGAGGAAACAAUAAUUGAUUAUUGUCUCACUCCUUGCGUUGGAUGAAUCCUGUGUUCUCUGAGUGAAGGCUAAUGAGCCAGCCUCCAUCCUUGACAAGAUCUGGAGCAAGGCAGUGGCUUCCACAGCUCCCCACAAAUUUCUGCAGUGCAAAAGGGCUGACCCACAACUCAAGCACCGUGGGGCCAAGCUUCCCAAGACCAUCUUCUUCGCAGCCGCUCUGUGUGGUGACAUCUUGGCAUCGUACAUGGAGAAGCGGUUUACAAGAGCCCCUAGGACUGACCAGAGAUCUCCACCAUGCCCCAGUCAUCCUCCUGUCACACUGCUGAUUCAACCAAUGCCCUCCCAAUCCUGCCCAUAGAGCAACUACAGGGGACAUGUGAUGCCACGGCAAGUACCCAGCCAGCAGCAGCGUGAACCGAUGCGCUCGCUAUUUAAUAUGCAGAGGAAAUGAGUCGCAACUAAGUUCAUUGCACACAUCCAUUACGUGAGAGAAGCAUCAAUAUUUCUGUAAAUCCACCAGGGAAUUUAUUCAUCUCAGCCUCCAGCAAUGGUGGAUUCCCCUGGUGACUAGUGCAAUUCGGAAGCGCGUACAGCCAUAAUGAGAAAGUACCGUGGUUUCCCUUAAAGUAAUAUAGUGGUUAUUGCUGAUAGUUACUGCCUUUGUGAAGUAUUAAUGCGUGGUUAUAGUGCAGUCAUGUAGCAAAAUUAUAGGGGCCUGUGGAAUGUUACUUAGCAACACUUGCUAAUGUUGAGGUGGUAAUGAAGAAAUGGAGUAAAAGAAAUACAGAGUAUAUUGGAGUCAUAAAAUAAACCAUGGUGUGGCUUCA
Molecule: long non-coding RNA, 1719 nt
Filed under: Calidris pugnax (ruff)
Lineage: Eukaryota; Metazoa; Chordata; Aves; Charadriiformes; Scolopacidae
Description: lncRNA (ENSCPUG00000019597.1)
Source: RNAcentral